This 242-nucleotide ribosomal RNA is filed under the name Ixodes scapularis (black-legged tick). Its description in RNAcentral is "partial 16S ribosomal RNA". Lineage: Eukaryota; Metazoa; Arthropoda; Arachnida; Ixodida; Ixodidae. The record is from RNAcentral.
UUUAUUAUUAAUAUUUUGCAAUUAAAUUAUUAAUAAUUUAAUUGGGGUGAUAAAAAAAGAAUAAGUAUCUUUUUAAUUGUAAAAUAAGUUCCGUUUUUAGCGAUUAAAUGAAAAAAAUACUCUAGGGAUAACAGCGUAAUAAUUUUGGAUAGUUCAUAUAGAUAAAAUAGUUUGCGACCUCGAUGUUGGAUUAGGAUUCUUUUUUGGUGAAGAAGUUAAAAAAAGAAGUUUGUUCAACUUUU